RNAcentral lists this non-coding RNA (97 nucleotides) under Bdellovibrio bacteriovorus. RNAcentral's name for it is "TPP sequence". It matches the Rfam family "TPP riboswitch aptamer (THI element)". Rfam says of the family: Vitamin B(1) in its active form thiamin pyrophosphate (TPP) is an essential coenzyme that is synthesised by coupling of pyrimidine and thiazole moieties in bacteria. The previously detected thiamin-regulatory element, thi box was extended, resulting in a new, highly conserved RNA secondary structure, the THI element, which is widely distributed in eubacteria and also occurs in some archaea. The record is from RNAcentral. Lineage: Bacteria; Pseudomonadati; Bdellovibrionota; Bdellovibrionia; Bdellovibrionales; Pseudobdellovibrionaceae.
GCCACGUGCUAGGGGUGUCGUUUGAAAAAACGGCUGAGAAAAACCCUUCGAACCUGAAAGAGAUCAUGCUCGCGCAGGGAAGCUACCAUGGGUUUGC